UACGUAUGGAGCAAGCGUUAUCCGGAUUUACUGGGUGUAAAGGGAGCGCAGGCGGUCUGGCAAGUCUGAUGUGAAAGGCCGGGGCUCAACCCCGGGACUGCAUUGGAAACUGUCAGACUGGAGUGUCGGAGAGGUAAGCGGAAUUCCUAGUGUAGCGGUGAAAUGCGUAGAUAUUAGGAGGAACACCAGUGGCGAAGGCGGCUUACUGGACUGUAACUGACGUUGAGGCUCGAAAGCGUGGGGAGCAAACAGG
RNAcentral lists this ribosomal RNA (253 nucleotides) under uncultured bacterium. Its description in RNAcentral is "partial 16S ribosomal RNA". It matches the Rfam family "Bacterial small subunit ribosomal RNA", at positions 524 to 776 of the family's 1533-position model. The record is from RNAcentral.